GGCCUCUUUUCGUGUUCGGGCCUAGCUGCUGCUAAACCCUGAUGACGGAGGUCACUGGUUCAAGUCCGGUGAGGCCCACCA
This 81-nucleotide transfer RNA is filed under the name Acidipropionibacterium acidipropionici. RNAcentral describes it as "tRNA-OTHER". RNAcentral also lists the same sequence under 2 other names. The record is from RNAcentral. Lineage: Bacteria; Bacillati; Actinomycetota; Actinomycetes; Propionibacteriales; Propionibacteriaceae.